This is a long non-coding RNA of Ceratosolen solmsi marchali, 155 nucleotides long. RefSeq lists it as uncharacterized. The record is from RefSeq and is a predicted model, not a curated record. The transcript has 5 exons. NCBI's taxonomy places the organism in Eukaryota, Metazoa, Arthropoda, Insecta, Hymenoptera, Agaonidae.
AGAAUAAAGUUUCUGGCGCUGCGUAUUAUGUAAAGAGAAAAAUAUCCCCUGAUGCAUUAAAGAUUAAUAAGAAGACCAUUUUGUUCGCUGGAAAGAAUAAGUAUGACGGUAACAAUCAAAAGAAUAAAUUUAAAGCGGCACUUCAUUCCAUACUG